Molecule: long non-coding RNA, 254 nt
Filed under: Elaeis guineensis (African oil palm)
Lineage: Eukaryota; Viridiplantae; Streptophyta; Magnoliopsida; Arecales; Arecaceae
Description: long non-coding RNA (EGUI_LNC014124)
Source: RNAcentral
AUCCCAUUUAAUAGGAAGAGAGGGUCAUGUAACUCUACUUACUCCUAUGAUCAAACAGCCUAGUGAUUAUUCAAUCUAAGUACUUUGCUACUCAGAUCAUCUAAUCUAACAUAUACAGGAUCGAUCAAAUAUCAGAUCUAAAAAUAAAAAUUAUUUAGAUCUAAUCUAAAUAACAUAAAAUCAGAUCUAAAUAGAUAUAAAAUCAUAUCAUAUUGAAUGAGAUUUUGAUACCAUAUGAAGAAAAAAUAGGUAGU